AGAGUUUGAUCCUGGCUCAGAUUGAACGCUGGCGGCAGGCUUAACACAUGCAAGUCGAGCGGUAACAGGGGUAGCUUGCUACCCGCUGACGAGCGGCGGACGGGUGAGUAAUGCUUAGGAAUCUGCCCAGUAGUGGGGGAUAGCCCGGGGAAACCCGGAUUAAUACCGCAUACGUCCUACGGGAGAAAGCAGGGGAUCUUCGGACCUUGCGCUAUUGGAUGAGCCUAAGUCGGAUUAGCUAGUUGGUGGGGUAAAGGCCUACCAAGGCGACGAUCCGUAGCUGGUCUGAGAGGAUGAUCAGCCACAUCGGGACUGAGACACGGCCCGAACUCCUACGGGAGGCAGCAGUGGGGAAUAUUGGACAAUGGGGGCAACCCUGAUCCAGCCAUGCCGCGUGUGUGAAGAAGGCUUUCGGGUUGUAAAGCACUUUCAGUAGGGAGGAAAACCUUAUGGUUAAUACCCAUGAGGCUUGACGUACCUACAGAGAG
RNAcentral lists this ribosomal RNA (488 nucleotides) under uncultured Gammaproteobacteria bacterium. RNAcentral describes it as "bacterial SSU rRNA". It matches the Rfam family "Bacterial small subunit ribosomal RNA", at positions 8 to 488 of the family's 1533-position model. Lineage: Bacteria; Pseudomonadati; Pseudomonadota; Gammaproteobacteria. The record is from RNAcentral.